This 433-nucleotide ribosomal RNA is filed under the name uncultured bacterium. RNAcentral describes it as "partial 16S ribosomal RNA". It matches the Rfam family "Bacterial small subunit ribosomal RNA", at positions 29 to 507 of the family's 1533-position model. The record is from RNAcentral.
AACGAACGCUGGCGGCAUGCCUAACACAUGCAAGUCGAACGAGACCUUCGGGUCUAGUGGCGCACGGGUGCGUAACGCGUGGGAACCUGCCCUUAGGUUCGGAAUAACUCCCCGAAAGGGGUGCUAAUACCGGAUAAUGUCUUCGGACCAAAGAUUUAUCGCCUUUGGAUGGGCACGCGUUGGAUUCGCUAGUUGGUAGGGUAAAAGCCUACCAAGGCGACGAUCCAUAGCUGGUCUGAGAGGAUGAUCAGCCACACUGGGACUGAGACACGGCCCAGACUCUUACGGGAGGCAGCAGUGGGGAAUAUUGGACAAUGGGCGAAAGCCUGAUCCAGCAAUGCCGCGUGAGUGAUGAAGGCCUUAGGGUUGUAAAGCUCUUUUACCCGGGAUGAUAAUGACAGUACCGGGAGAAUAAGCUCCGGCUAACUCCGUG